AGUGAACGCUGGCGGUAGGCCUAACACAUGCAGGUCGAACGGCAGCACAGGAGAGCUUGCUCUCUGGGUGGCGAGUGGCGGACGGGUGAGGAAUACAUCGGAAUCUACUCUGUCGUGGGGGAUAACGUAGGGAAACCUACGCUAAUACCGCAUACGACCUACGGGUGAAAGCAGGGGACCUUCGGGCCUUGCGCGAUUGAAUGAGCCGAUGUCGGAUUGGCUAGUUGGCGGGGUAAAGGCCCACCAAGGCGACGAUCAGUAGCUGGUAUGAGAGGAUGAUCAGCCACACUGGAACUGAGACACGGUCCAGACUCCUACGGGAGGCAGCAGUGGGGAAUAUUGGACAAUGGGCGCAAGCCUGAUCCAGCCAUACCGCGUGGGUGAAGAAGGCCUUCGGGUUGUAAAGCCCUUUUGUUGGGAAAGAAAUCCAGCUGGCUAAUACCCGGUUGGGAUGACGGUACCCAAAGAAUAAGCACCGGCUAACUUCGUGCCAGCAGCCGCCGUAA
This 506-nucleotide ribosomal RNA is filed under the name uncultured bacterium. RNAcentral describes it as "partial 16S ribosomal RNA". It matches the Rfam family "Bacterial small subunit ribosomal RNA", at positions 29 to 523 of the family's 1533-position model. The record is from RNAcentral.